This 496-nucleotide ribosomal RNA is filed under the name uncultured bacterium. Its description in RNAcentral is "partial 16S ribosomal RNA". It matches the Rfam family "Bacterial small subunit ribosomal RNA", at positions 29 to 507 of the family's 1533-position model. The record is from RNAcentral.
ACGAACGCUGGCGGCGUGCCUAAUACAUGCAAGUUGAGCGCUGAAGGUUGGUACUUGUACCAACUGGAUGAGCAGCGAACGGGUGAGUAACGCGUGGGGAAUCUGCCUUUGAGCGGGGGACAACAUUUGGAAACGAAUGCUAAUACCGCAUAAAAACUUUAAACACAAGUUUUCAGUUUGAAAGAUGCAAUUGCAUCACUCAAAGAUGAUCCCGCGUUGUAUUAGCUAGUUGGUGAGGUAAAGGCUCACCAAGGCGAUGAUACAUAGCCGACCUGAGAGGGUGAUCGGCCACAUUGGGACUGAGACACGGCCCAAACUCCUACGGGAGGCAGCAGUAGGGAAUCUUCGGCAAUGGACGAAAGUCUGACCGAGCAACGCCGCGGGAGUGAAGAAGGUUUUCGGAUCGGAAAACUCUGUUGGUAGAGAAGAACGUUGGUGAGAGUGGAAAGCUCAUCAAGUGACGGUAACUACCCAGAAAGGGACGGCUAACUACGUG